AACGAACGCUGGCGGCAUGCCUAACACAUGCAAGUCGAACGAGAUCCUUCGGGGUCUAGUGGCGCACGGGUGCGUAACGCGUGGGAAUCUGCCCUUAGGUUCGGAAUAACAGUUAGAAAUGACUGCUAAUACCGGAUGAUGACGUUAAGUCCAAAGAUUUAUCGCCUGAGGAUGAGCCCGCGUAGGAUUAGCUAGUUGGUGUGGUAAAGGCGCACCAAGGCGACGAUCCUUAGCUGGUCUGAGAGGAUGAUCAGCCACACUGGGACUGAGACACGGCCCAGACUCCUACGGGAGGCAGCAGUGGGGAAUAUUGGACAAUGGGCGCAAGCCUGAUCCAGCAAUGCCGCGUGAGUGAUGAAGGCCUUAGGGUUGUAAAGCUCUUUUACCCGAGAUGAUAAUGACAGUAGCGGGAGAAUAAGCCCCGGCUAACUCC
RNAcentral lists this ribosomal RNA (433 nucleotides) under uncultured bacterium. RNAcentral describes it as "partial 16S ribosomal RNA". It matches the Rfam family "Bacterial small subunit ribosomal RNA", at positions 29 to 504 of the family's 1533-position model. The record is from RNAcentral.